RNAcentral lists this ribosomal RNA (478 nucleotides) under uncultured Flavobacterium sp. RNAcentral's name for it is "bacterial SSU rRNA". It matches the Rfam family "Bacterial small subunit ribosomal RNA", at positions 9 to 482 of the family's 1533-position model. The record is from RNAcentral. Lineage: Bacteria; Pseudomonadati; Bacteroidota; Flavobacteriia; Flavobacteriales; Flavobacteriaceae.
GAGUUUGAUCCUGGCUCAGGAUGAACGCUAGCGGCAGGCUUAACACAUGCAAGUCGAACGGUAACAUUGGCGCUUGCACCAGAUGACGAGUGGCGCACGGGAGCGUAACGCGUAUGCAAUCUACCUUUUACUGAAGAAUAGCCCAGAGAAAUUUGGAAUAAUCCUUCAUAAUAUCAUUUAUCAGCAUUGAUUUAUGAUUAAAGCUCCGGCGGUAAAAGAUGAGCAUGCGUCCUAUUAGUUUGUUGGUGAGGUAACGGCUCACCAAGACUACGAUAGGUAGGGGCCCUGAGAGGGGGAUCCCCCACACUGGUACUGAGACACGGACCAGACUCCUACGGGAGGCAGCAGUGAGGAAUAUUGGACAAUGGAGGCAACUCUGAUCCAGCCAUGCCGCGUGCAGGAUGACUGCCCUAUGGGUUGUAAACUGCUUUUAUAUAGGAAGAAACACUCCCACGUGUGGGGGCUUGACGGUACUAUA